Molecule: ribosomal RNA, 382 nt
Filed under: uncultured marine Chaetocerotaceae
Lineage: Eukaryota; Bacillariophyta; Thalassiosirophyceae; Chaetocerotales; Chaetocerotaceae
Description: SSU rRNA
Rfam family: Eukaryotic small subunit ribosomal RNA
Source: RNAcentral
AGCUUCAGUAGCGUAUAUUAAAGUUGUUGCAGUUAAAAAGCUCGUAGUCGCAUUUCUGGCGAGAGGAUCCGUUCCGACCUUUUGGUGGGUUCUUGGGUAACUUUCGCCAUCCUUGAGUGGUCCGUUCUGGCAUUAGGUUGUCGGAGCGUCAGCCGCUCAUCGUUUACUUUGAGAAAAUUAGAGUGUUCAAAGCAGGCUUAUGCCGUUGAAUAUAUUAGCAUGGAAUAAUAAGAUAGGACCUCGGUACUAUUUUGUUGGUUUGCGCACCAAGGUAAUGAUGAACAGGGACAGUUGGGGGUAUUUGUAUUUCGUUGUCAGAGGUGAAAUUCUUAGAUUUACGAAAGACAAACUACUGCGAAAGCAUUUACCAAGGAUGUUUUCA